Nomascus leucogenys (northern white-cheeked gibbon) is the source of this 1401-nucleotide long non-coding RNA. RefSeq lists it as uncharacterized. The transcript is spliced from 3 exons. NCBI's taxonomy places the organism in Eukaryota, Metazoa, Chordata, Mammalia, Primates, Hylobatidae. The record is from RefSeq and is a predicted model, not a curated record.
CUAGUUCCUAGUUUCAUCUCCUCAUUUUCUCCAUCCUCCUGCUCCUUAUUAAGAUCUGGAUGUUAACAUUGAUGUAGUGUGAAGCUGGGUGGGAUAUUUAAUUCAGCAGUUGGCAGUGUCUGGAUCCACAAUGGUCUCUGAAAGCUGAGAUGCUGCCCUGAGUUUAUCAGGAUGGCAUUUGGCAGAUUGGAGAUAAGUGCAUCUGAAUUGAGACACAUAGCUUCCCUCAUAUGGUUUUUAUGAAAAUGAAAUGAACAAGUUGCCUUAUUUCAUUUGUUAAUACUAUUGUUUGUCAUGUAGACACUUACGUAGCCGAUAAAUGGUGACUUCUAUUCUGAUACCCUGAAGCAUCCUGAAAGCAAAUGUUCCAUCCUGCUGUUAAGGAGAACUGGCUUCAUCCAAUUAGUCAUACAUGAGUAGGUCUGGGUUUCUCUGGAGAGACAGCUUAGCCUGAGCCCAUUUUACAGAUGGAAACCUGAGGCUCAGAAAGGUUGAGUGCUUUGCUCAGGAUCACAGGGAGGAGUGAUGGGAGGAGCCUCUGCCUCUUUGGGAGACACUGGCCGACAUUCUUCUCUGACAUCAGGCACCCCCUCUGAGGAAUCCACUCAAAAAGGGCAUCAGGAGUGCUGCGGAGCCUGCUGCACCACGUGGUUUGCAUCCUCUUCAUGCGGCAAAGGACCUGGACUUCCAGAAGUCACACAGGGUGGUCUGCAGGGCAAGGCGGGGUGGCGAUAUUCCGCAGGAGCUAGUCAAAAGCUUGUGACAAAAGGGCACGCUGAGGUUUUACGUUCACUUUUCUUGCUUUCUCUCUGAUUUAUCCCAUGCUUUCACUCCAUGAGAGGGUUGGCCUCUCUGUCUCAUCUCCUUGAGAGCUCCUGCAGGAAGUGGCUGGAUGCAGAGCCCGGUUCCCAGGUACCUGAAGUGGCCUGGCACUCCUGAGGGUCAGGAGAAAAAAUGAGUAUGGCAACCAGCAAGGAAGGAAAACUGCCCUCAACCAGGGUGCAAAUGCAGUCGAAUUAAGUCAGAGCUGGCAGGCGGAAACCCUGUGGGCUCUGUGAAUGUGGCAGCUGCUGCUAGAUGCUGACAGAUGCAGGGGCAGGGCUGAGCCGGCGCCUCCAGGACUUUGCCUGUGCCAUCUUACCAUCCCUGAUUGGUGAACUCGCAUUCAUCCAUCAACACCCAGAGAUAAUAUCACCUCGUCAGUGGGACAUUCCUCAGGCAUCCCAGGCAGUCCAUGGUCCAUCCCUGAUCUUGAAGCAUUUCUCCCAAACCACUCAAGUGGGCUUGUCUCCAUCCCAGGCCCUGUUACGAAGAGGUGUUUUUCUCUCUCACUGCAUGUGGAGCAAUACUUCCAUGCUAUUCAUCCUGUUAUCACAGAAUAAAAGAAUGACUGUCUCCCCU